UUUAUUUACACACCAUAAAUACUCAAAUAACAAUUUGUUAUUUGUUAUAUAAUAUGAAACAUGUCUCAAAAUGAUGAUGACAAAAAUAAUGGCAAAUUGCUAUUUGGGUAGUCAUAUAAAAUAAGCAAAAAUAAAGUACUAAUAAGUAAAAAUAUUAAUAUUACUUCGAAAAUAAUAUGCUUCAUUAUUUUGUAGCUUUUAACAAAGAAUGGAACUUGAAAAAGAUGGACACAAUAGUUUUAAAUACUUGCAAGAUAAUUUGGAGUUGACUACACUUCCUUCUACAAAAUGGAGUUAUUCAAAAGGAAAUGAAAUGUUUUUUGGUUUCCAAAAGGCUGAACAUCUCAUUUUCUGUCCUCUGUAGCGGUUUAUAAUUACAAAUCCUUGACAAUUUGUAACUCUGUAAUAGAAAUUAAUAUCUUUUAUCUAAAGAAUAUUUUAUGUUCAAUACACUAUAAUUCAACAAGAAAACUUCCUACAAAAUUACUUUUAUAGUAAAUUGUAAUAAAAUUUUAGUAUUUUUUAAUAUAAACAAUAACUUUAAUAAAAAUAAAAUUUUAUAUACCAAA
This is a long non-coding RNA of Solenopsis invicta (red fire ant), 569 nucleotides long. RefSeq lists it as uncharacterized. Lineage: Eukaryota; Metazoa; Arthropoda; Insecta; Hymenoptera; Formicidae. The record is from RefSeq and is a predicted model, not a curated record. The transcript is spliced from 2 exons.